UCCCUGGCAGUCCAGUGGUUAAGACUCUGUGCUUCCAAUGUAGGGGAUCCAGGUUCGAUCCCUAGCCAGGGAA
RNAcentral lists this transfer RNA (73 nucleotides) under Ovis aries (sheep). It matches the Rfam family "tRNA". Rfam says of the family: Transfer RNA (tRNA) molecules are approximately 80 nucleotides in length. Their secondary structure includes four short double-helical elements and three loops (D, anti-codon, and T loops). Lineage: Eukaryota; Metazoa; Chordata; Mammalia; Artiodactyla; Bovidae. The record is from Rfam by way of RNAcentral.